This 1085-nucleotide long non-coding RNA is filed under the name Sorghum bicolor (sorghum). RNAcentral's name for it is "long non-coding RNA (SBIC_LNC000917)". The record is from RNAcentral. Lineage: Eukaryota; Viridiplantae; Streptophyta; Magnoliopsida; Poales; Poaceae.
UGCGAACUCACCCAACCACUUUUCGUGUUCGGGGAUGGCUCGGAGUGGUCCGGCAAUGGGGAAUGGCGGGUGGUGGCUCCCUGUACUUGUUCGGCAAGCAUUAGAACACAAGAUAAAGCGAGGGAAAACGAAGGGAAGGGUUCGGUCGCUUGGCAAGGGCUCGAACUCCCCGACGGCGGCCGUGUCCAAACUCGGCGAGAUCCUGCUCUCGGUAUCUAAGGCGACUAGGGUCUCAAUCGUCGCGGCAAGAAGGAAACGGGGCGUAGAGUGAUAUCGCAGAGCUUAAAAGGGCAACUUGGCUCACCCCACGUGACAAAUCCCGCAAGAAUCGGGAUCAUGUGGAUUUGGUUACCGUGAUGGAGUCCGGCUUGAGCACGACACAAGGAAGAAGACGGAAGGGGAAGGGGAACGCUGACAGGUGGGGAUGGUGCGGCAGAGAGAGGAGAGGGGGGGAGCACGCUGAUCAGGGUGCGGGCCAGCUUGGGCCAGAAGCAGGCCAUGCGAGGUGGGAGGUGGAGUGGGCCUUCGGGCCAGAAAGCAGAGGGGGAAAAAGUUUUUCUCUUUUUUUAUUUUCUUUUGUUUGUUUUCUUUUCUUUUAUUUCCAAAACAUAUUUCAAGACAAUUUGAAAACCAUUUUCAAAUCGGUUUGAAAUGAUUUUGAACUUGGAUAAAAUUCACACAAUACAAUGAAAAUAAAUGCUCCAAAAUGAAUGCGCAAACAAGUUGCUAAAUCUUAUGAUAAAUUUUAUUCAAAUGAAAAAAUAUUAUUUCUCUAUGUUUCAUGAGCACAAAAAUACAAAAUUAAAUCAUUUUAUCUCUAUUUCCUAGAAAACAAUUUAUAGGGUGUUACAGUUUCUCACUUCUCUCAUUUCAGAUUUUGUGGCUAGCAUGACUAAAUGCUCUCCCUUUCGUUUCUUUUCCUCUAUGAAAUUUGGCUUGUGUCACUCACUCACCGCAUUGUGGAUGGCACUCAAUUUCUUUUGUAAGUGUUCAGCCAUGAUUUGUUAGGGUGUCAUAGGCUUGGAAACAAACUUAUUCCCUUUUAGAUCGUUAGUGAACUGAUUUGUUCUCCCAUAAUGUUGGCU